This 1267-nucleotide ribosomal RNA is filed under the name Micrococcus sp. RNAcentral describes it as "bacterial SSU rRNA". It matches the Rfam family "Bacterial small subunit ribosomal RNA", at positions 79 to 1357 of the family's 1533-position model. Lineage: Bacteria; Bacillati; Actinomycetota; Actinomycetes; Micrococcales; Micrococcaceae. The record is from RNAcentral.
CUUGCAUGGGUGGAUUAGUGGAGACGGGUGAGUAACACGUGAGUAACCUGCCCUUAACUCUGGGAUAAGCCUGGGAAACUGGGUCUAAUACCGGAUAGGACCAUCCACCGCAUGGUGGGUGUUGGAAAGAUUUAUCGGUUUUGGAUGGACUCGCGGCCUAUCAGCUUGUUGGUGAGGUAAUGGCUCACCAAGGCGACCACGGGUAGCCGGCCUGAGAGGGUGACCGGCCACACUGGGACUGAGACACGGCCCAGACUCCUACGGGAGGCAGCAGUGGGGAAUAUUGCACAAUGGGCGCAAGCCUGAUGCAGCGACGCCGCGUGAGGGAUGACGGCCUUCGGGUUGUAAACCUCUUUCAGUAGGGAAGAAGCGAAAGUGACGGUACCUGCAGAAGAAGCACCGGCUAACUACGUGCCAGCAGCCGCGGUAAUACGUAGGGUGCGAGCGUUAUCCGGAAUUAUUGGGCGUAAAGAGCUCGUAGGCGGUUUGUCGCGUCUGUCGUGAAAGUCCGGGGCUUAACCCCGGAUCUGCGGUGGGUACGGGCAGACUAGAGUGCAGUAGGGGAGACUGGAAUUCCUGGUGUAGCGGUGGAAUGCGCAGAUAUCAGGAGGAACACCGAUGGCGAAGGCAGGUCUCUGGGCUGUAACUGACGCUGAGGAGCGAAAGCAUGGGGAGCGAACAGGAUUAGAUACCCUGGUAGUCCAUGCCGUAAACGUUGGGCACUAGGUGUGGGGACCAUUCCACGGUUUCCGCGCCGCAGCUAACGCAUUAAGUGCCCCGCCUGGGGAGUACGGCCGCAAGGCUAAAACUCAAAGGAAUUGACGGGGGCCCGCACAAGCGGCGGAGCAUGCGGAUUAAUUCGAUGCAACGCGAAGAACCUUACCAAGGCUUGACAUGUUCUCGAUCGCCGUAGAGAUACGGUUUCCCCUUUGGGGCGGGUUCACAGGUGGUGCAUGGUUGUCGUCAGCUCGUGUCGUGAGAUGUUGGGUUAAGUCCCGCAACGAGCGCAACCCUCGUUCCAUGUUGCCAGCACGUCGUGGUGGGGACUCAUGGGAGACUGCCGGGGUCAACUCGGAGGAAGGUGAGGACGACGUCAAAUCAUCAUGCCCCUUAUGUCUUGGGCUUCACGCAUGCUACAAUGGCCGGUACAAUGGGUUGCGAUACUGUGAGGUGGAGCUAAUCCCAAAAAGCCGGUCUCAGUUCGGAUUGGGGUCUGCAACUCGACCCCAUGAAGUCGGAGUCGCUAGUAAUCGCAGAUCAGGCACGC